CGGCCCUCGAAAAGGAACCGCCAUUCACAAUAUCGCCCGUUCGCCGAUAAUCGCAAGGAAGACACUAAAAAUGUCAAUAAAUGCAAAGGCCCGGACGAUCCGCCCGGGCCUUUGCGUAAAAACGGCGUGAGACGCCGGAAAAGUCCGCGGCGAACGCUUUAUUCGUCUUCCUCGGGCUGCUCCUCGGGAGGAGCAAGGCCUUCCAGACCC
Molecule: unclassified non-coding RNA, 210 nt
Filed under: Hevea brasiliensis (rubber tree)
Lineage: Eukaryota; Viridiplantae; Streptophyta; Magnoliopsida; Malpighiales; Euphorbiaceae
Source: RNAcentral